UACGGAUUGAUGUAACGGUAACAUAGUGGGCUCAUGCCCCCCAAAUAGUGGUUCGAAUCCACUGUCCGUAA
RNAcentral lists this transfer RNA (71 nucleotides) under Ricasolia amplissima. Its description in RNAcentral is "tRNA-Met". It matches the Rfam family "tRNA". From Rfam's summary of the family: Transfer RNA (tRNA) molecules are approximately 80 nucleotides in length. Their secondary structure includes four short double-helical elements and three loops (D, anti-codon, and T loops). Further hydrogen bonds mediate the characteristic L-shaped molecular structure. tRNAs have two regions of fundamental functional importance: the anti-codon, which is responsible for specific mRNA codon recognition, and the 3' end, to which the tRNAs corresponding amino acid is attached (by aminoacyl-tRNA synthetases). tRNAs cope with the degeneracy of the genetic code in two manners: having more than one tRNA (with a specific anti-codon) for a particular amino acid; and 'wobble' base-pairing, i.e. permitting non-standard base-pairing at the 3rd anti-codon position. The record is from RNAcentral. Lineage: Eukaryota; Fungi; Ascomycota; Lecanoromycetes; Peltigerales; Lobariaceae.